Molecule: ribosomal RNA, 475 nt
Filed under: uncultured bacterium
Lineage: Bacteria
Description: bacterial SSU rRNA
Rfam family: Bacterial small subunit ribosomal RNA
Source: RNAcentral
GACGAACGCUGGCGGCGUGCUUAACACAUGCAAGUCGAACGAGGUCCAUGCAGUAGCAAUACUGCGGAAGACCUAGUGGCGAACGGGUGAGUAUCACGUGAGAAACCAACCCCGGUCUUUGGGAUAACAGUUGGAAACGACUGCUAAUACCGAAUGCCGUCGUUGCCUCGCAUGGGGCGAUGACGAAAGGGCUACCGGAUCGGGACGGUCUCGCGGCCUAUCAGCUUGUUGGGGAGGUAACGGCUCACCAAGGCUUCGACGGGUAGCUGGUCUGAGAGGAUGAUCAGCCACACUGGGACUGAGACACGGCCCAGACUCCUACGGGAGGCAGCAGUGGGGAAUAUUGCACAAUGGGCGAAAGCCUGAUGCAGCGACGCCGCGUGAGGGACGAAGGCCUUCGGGUUGUAAACCUCUUUCAGCAGGGAAGAAGCGAAAGUGACGGUACCUGCAGAAGAAGCACCGGCUAACUACGUGC